UACGGGGGGGCAAGCGUUGUUCGGAAUUACUGGGCGUAAAGGGCUCGUAGGCGGCCAACUAAGUCCGACGUGAAAUCCCCAGCUUAACCUGGGAACUGCGUCGGAUACUGGAUGGCUUGAAUUCGGGAGAGGGAUGCAGAAUUCCAGGUGUAGCGGUGAAAUGCGUAGAUAUUGGGAAGAACACCGAUGGCGAAGGCAGCCAUCUGGACCGACACUGACGCUGAGGAGCGAAAAGCCGGGAGGGAGCAA
This 249-nucleotide ribosomal RNA is filed under the name uncultured bacterium. RNAcentral describes it as "partial 16S ribosomal RNA". It matches the Rfam family "Bacterial small subunit ribosomal RNA", at positions 524 to 771 of the family's 1533-position model. The record is from RNAcentral.